Molecule: ribosomal RNA, 253 nt
Filed under: uncultured bacterium
Lineage: Bacteria
Description: partial 16S ribosomal RNA
Rfam family: Bacterial small subunit ribosomal RNA
Source: RNAcentral
UACGGAGGGUGCAAGCGUUAAUCGGAAUUACUGGGCGUAAAGCGUGCGCAGGCGGUUUGUUAAGUCCGUUGUGAAAGCCCUGGGCUCAACCUGGGAAUUGCAGUGGAUACUGGCGAGCUAGAGUGCGGUAGAGGAUGGUGGAAUUCCCGGUGUAGCGGUGAAAUGCGUAGAGAUCGGGAGGAACACCCGUGGCGAAGGCGGCCAUCUGGACCAGCACUGACGCUGAGGCACGAAAGCGUGGGGAGCAAACAGG